UGGGGAAUUUUGCACAAUGGGGGAAACCCUGAUGCAGCGACGCCGCGUGAUUUAGAAGGCCUUCGGGUUGUAAAAAUCUUUUCUAUGGGAAGAAAAUGACAGUACCAUAGGAAUAAGGACCGGCUAAUUACGUGCCAGCAGCCGCGGUAAUACGUAAGGUCCGAGCGUUGGCCGGAAUCAUUGGGCGUAAAGGGUACGUAGGCGGGUAAGCAAGUUAGAAGUGAAAUCCUAUAGCUCAACUAUAGUAAGCUUUUAAAACUGCUCAUCUUGAGGUAUGGAAGGGAAAGUGGAAUUGCUAGUGUAGCGGUGAAAUGCGCAGAUAUUAGGAGGAGUACCGGUGGCGAAGGCGACUUUCUGGCCAUAACCUGACGCUGAGAUACGAUAGCGUGGGUAGCAAACAGG
This 402-nucleotide ribosomal RNA is filed under the name bacterium. Its description in RNAcentral is "partial 16S ribosomal RNA". It matches the Rfam family "Bacterial small subunit ribosomal RNA", at positions 355 to 776 of the family's 1533-position model. The record is from RNAcentral.